This is a long non-coding RNA of Olea europaea var. sylvestris, 729 nucleotides long. RefSeq lists it as uncharacterized. Lineage: Eukaryota; Viridiplantae; Streptophyta; Magnoliopsida; Lamiales; Oleaceae. The transcript has 3 exons. The record is from RefSeq and is a predicted model, not a curated record.
UGUUUACUUCGUUCAUAACGCGUGCAGAAAUAUGCAGAAAUAUGACAAUCUCGAUGAAUCUUCUGCUGUGUGUAUGGCUGCCAAAAAUGUUCUGUUGAUUAAUGGUUUGGAAUGUAAGAUGGCAUCAAACUCAUCCAAGAUCUCUUAUGUCCUGGACACGGAGGACUUUUUUAUUCGUUUGGGAAGGAAAAGAAACCGAUUGGGAGACAGAUCGUCUUGCAAUAACCAGGCUAGGGUAUUACGAUUUCACCAAUUUUUGACCACCUCUAUAUGAUAUAAACUGGCCAUUUUAUCAAGAGUGUACUGUCAUUUGUUCUGCUCGAGACAUUACUGAGCAGUUCAUUACUUCUCAACAAGCCCCGUUAACCCCAAGGGAACAGAGUUGCUCGGGAUUGUAGGGAUUGUAGUAUCUUGUGAGCUUAUCUAAAUGGUACGUGCUCCAUUCAUCUGUAUAUAGCAGUGGCCCAUACUCUCAAUUGUAGAAUCAUGUUUGUUCGUUUAGAGUGCUUACAUGGGCAAAAAAUUGCCUGCUGUUUUAUUUUGUAAUAUCUAUUAGUCCGUAUUUUCCCAGAAAUGGAGUUUCUGGCACUGGCUUUGCUAUAGAAUAUGUUAGAGAUAGUGAUGGGAAAGGGAAAAAUAGUAUAGCAGAAUGUUCAGACUUUAAAAUUCCAUUAUGUUCUAUUAGCUUUGUACAGAGCUUAAAUCCUGACUCAUGUUCUUACUGGUAUA